Molecule: ribosomal RNA, 253 nt
Filed under: uncultured bacterium
Lineage: Bacteria
Description: partial 16S ribosomal RNA
Rfam family: Bacterial small subunit ribosomal RNA
Source: RNAcentral
UACAGAGGUGGCAAGCGUUGUUCGGAAUUACUGGGCGUAAAGCGUGCGCAGGCGGCUUUGCAAGACAGAUGUGAAAUCCCCGGGCUUAACCUGGGAACUGCAUUUGUGACUGCAUGGCUGGAGUGCGGCAGAGGGGGAUGGAAUUCCGCGUGUAGCAGUGAAAUGCGUAGAUAUGCGGGGGAACACCGAUGGCGAAGGCAAUCCCCUGGGCCUGCACUGACGCUCAUGCACGAAAGCGUGGGGAGCAAACAGG